This 94-nucleotide ribosomal RNA is filed under the name Amanita similis. Its description in RNAcentral is "partial 18S ribosomal RNA". The record is from RNAcentral. Lineage: Eukaryota; Fungi; Basidiomycota; Agaricomycetes; Agaricales; Amanitaceae.
CCUGCGGAAGGAUCAUUAUUGGAAUGAAAUCUCUAGCAAGAGGCUGUUGCUAUUGCUAGACACUAGCUAAUGUGCACGCCUUUUGUCUAUUUCU